GACGAACGCUGGCGGCGUGCCUAAUACAUGCAAGUCGAACGCUUCUUUCCUCCCGAGUGCUUGCACUCAAUUGGAAAGAGGAGUGGCGGACGGGUGAGUAACACGUGGGUAACCUACCCAUCAGAGGGGGAUAACACUUGGAAACAGGUGCUAAUACCGCAUAACAGUUUAUGCCGCAUGGCAUAAGAGUGAAAGGCGCUUUCGGGUGUCGCUGAUGGAUGGACCCGCGGUGCAUUAGCUAGUUGGUGAGGUAACGGCUCACCAAGGCCACGAUGCAUAGCCGACCUGAGAGGGUGAUCGGCCACACUGGGACUGAGACACGGCCCAGACUCCUACGGGAGGCAGCAGUAGGGAAUCUUCGGCAAUGGACGAAAGUCUGACCGAGCAACGCCGCGUGAGUGAAGAAGGUGUUCGGAUCGUAAAACUCUGUUGUUAGAGAAGAACAAGGACGUUAGUAACUGAACGUCACCUGACGGUAGCUAACCAGAAAGCCACGGCUAACUACGUG
This 508-nucleotide ribosomal RNA is filed under the name uncultured bacterium. Its description in RNAcentral is "partial 16S ribosomal RNA". It matches the Rfam family "Bacterial small subunit ribosomal RNA", at positions 28 to 507 of the family's 1533-position model. The record is from RNAcentral.